GACGAACGCUGGCGGCGUGCUUAACACAUGCAAGUCGAACGGAAAGGCCCCUUUGGGGGUACUCGAGUGGCGAACGGGUGAGUAACACGUGAGUAACCUGCCCUUGACUUCGGGAUAACUUCAGGAAACUGGGGCUAAAACCGGAUAGGAAUCCUUGCUGCAUGGUGGGGGUUGGAAAGCUUCGGCGGUUUUGGAUGGACUCGCGGCUUAUCAGCUUGUUGGUGGGGUAGUGGCUUACCAAGGCUUUGACGGGUAGCCGGCCUGAGAGGGCGACCGGCCACAUUGGGACUGAGAUACGGCCCAGACUCCUACGGGAGGCAGCAGUGGGGAAUAUUGCACAAUGGGCGGAAGCCUGAUGCAGCAACGCCGCGUGCGGGAUGACGGCCUUCGGGUUGUAAACCGCUUUCAGCAGGGGCGAAGCUUGUGGUGACGGUACCUGCAGAAGAAGCACCGGCUAACUACGUG
RNAcentral lists this ribosomal RNA (465 nucleotides) under uncultured bacterium. RNAcentral describes it as "partial 16S ribosomal RNA". It matches the Rfam family "Bacterial small subunit ribosomal RNA", at positions 28 to 507 of the family's 1533-position model. The record is from RNAcentral.